AGAGCAGCUGGAGGAAGAGUGGAAACAACAAGAACGGACUGUUUAUCCGAACCGUGUGCACAGACCCACAAACACACUUGCCUCAUUGAAAAAUAUUUCUUUACAUGUGAUAUUAAUGGGCGGUGUCAUUUGACCCAAACCACACAGUAUCAUCGCCAGGUCAGUCUGAAAAGUUGGAGGUCAGCAUUUACAUUCCUGUAUUACAAAUCAUAAAGUUGUGUAAGUUUGGGUUACGACAACAGUCUAUGUGUGAAGCCCACGCGAGUCAGUGGCGGUUUGAAGGCAGUGGCUGUGUGCCUGAGCACGUACUUCCACUUCAAGUGACAAGAAGGGCGAUUGAUGAAGCUAUUUUUGCGAUGGAAAUGUAAUUUUGUAAUGAGAAAACACGAAAUUCUUUGAAGCCCACAUUGCCAAUCAAAUAAUAAAUAAUCAAAUAAAAAAUUACAAACUGAUUUUGAAGUUUGUUUUUAAAAGGCUUUAAACAGUUUGGUGACUCGUGGCACAUAACCAAACAGGCUAUAACCAAGUCAACUUAACAUGGGGCACAUUGUUUACAUUUGAAAGGGCUUUUCCAUUGUAUUUUUUUUAAUACAUUUUCUUUAUGUCAUUUAUGUGAUUUUAUAUCUUUUGUUAUUAUUCUUUAAGAUUUCAUACAAUUACUUUUUUAUGUUUUAUCAACCUGGAAGGUCAUCUAAAAAGGCGCUUCAUUUAAAAUUUACAAUUUGUAAGAGCAUAUUGACAACACAAUGUUUACAUGUUACUUGAUUAUACAGAGUGCUCUGUCUCUGUUAACAUUUCAAUGCUCUGAAAUGGCACCUGAGUGUUACUUUGUUUACAUCUUUUCUCUUAAAUGGUCUCUUAUCUAUCUAUCUAUCUAUCUAUCUAUCUAUCUAUCUAUCUAUCUAUCAUCCUUAUCAACUUAUUUCUAGUCAUUCAAAAUUAUUGUAAAACAUAAAUCAAAAGGGGCUAAAAAAUGAAAAUAAGUCAUAUUUUUGUUAAGACUAAAUCUCUGAUUUGAGACAGCAGGAAGUCUCAUCUAAGCCUUGCACACGAAUCUUUCUUUAAUUUAGUAAAUCCGUGUGCAAACUGAGUGCGUGAUUCGUGGAUCUGUGUUUAUCACACUCUGCCUUUAUAGAUGCCUUCUUUACAUUUGGAAACCAGAUUUCGACCCUUUCACUGCUGUUUCUCUCUCUCUCCACAUCACAUGUUUAUAAGGGAGCUUGGGUGAAUAGGACACGCAGGUUGCGUUCAGGGCUCCCCCAAAUUCGCGGAAAUUCAAAAGAGUCUUCGCUUGAACUCCAAUAAACUGUGUUCCGAUCUGUUAACCAUAACAAUGCUUUUCUCCGUAUAAACAUACUCAAUAUUCAUGAAUUCAAUGUCCCCAGGGCGAAUAAUGGGCUCUUAUGUAAUCACACACAACAUGCCAGCUUCUCCACGCCUGGGAAUCUGUCUGUUGUCGCUACUUUAACAAUCCGUGUGCACAAAUCCCUUUGUCAUCAACCACUACGUUUCUGCGUGCAGCGUGAUUUUGCACCCGGUACUGUUGAUGUGGUGCGCUAUAAAAGAUCCGCCCCCGGUCUGUCAGCAACAACACUCGCAGCUCUGAACUUAAUCGAACGACAACUUCACUCGAAGAAACUCCAACAUCCACUGGAAAGAUGGACCCUUGCGAAUGCGCCAAGAGUAAGUGAUCUGUUUGAAUCUCUGUAUCUGAGAAUUUUGACCUUGUAUUUUGUUAAACGGUGUAUUUUUUUUAGCAGAGACUGAUCUGAUUUUUAUAUUUUAGCUGGAACCUGCAACUGCGGAGGAUCCUGCACCUGCACAAACUGUUCCUGCACUAAAUGCAAGAAAAGUAAGUCUGCUAACAACCUUUUUAGAGAUGACAAGCUUGAGGAAGGCGUUCACUGCUCACUGAAGCAAAAAUAAGCUUAAGACAAAGUGUAUCGAGGAUUCAGAACCUUUUUUUUGCUUUACCUCUCUGCUUAAAAUUCUCAAUUAUUUAUAUUAAGUUACCCCUAGUGAUGUCCUUUUUGAAAUUCUGUACCAAUCUUGAAUUCAUAGUGCUUAUUUAAACUAUUUUUUGUAAUUAUAGUCCAUGGCUCGUGGCUGCACAGGUGACUCUAAUUGGCCUAAUUGUCUGCAACGUGUUCAAGGAGGAGGAGAAGUCUUUAUCUCCUCCGCAGUUAACUAUUUCAUACAUUAACUAUGCAGCUUUGUCUCUGAAAUCCACCACCUCGACUGUUAGUAGGAUAUGAACCUGUCUUCAGCACUGAUGCUUGACUGUCCUCCAGUCACUAAUGGACUGUUUCUCCUCUUGCAGGCUGCUGCCCAUGCUGCCCAUCCGGCUGCAGCAAGUGCGCCUCUGGCUGCGUGUGCAAAGGGAAGACAUGUGACACCAGCUGCUGUCAGUGAGGAGUGUGAUCAUCGGUCUGUCUCUGCCCUUGAGAUGGCGCCUGUUUUUUUUGAUCAAGUCUAAAUUAAUGUAGGGACCAAUGUCUACUAAUAACAAUGCACAAGAUUUUGUACUUGAUAUUGAAAUAAACGCGUUUCCUUGAUGUGACUUUGACGUGUCCUGGUUUGACUUCAAAGCAUAACUGUA
RNAcentral lists this long non-coding RNA (2599 nucleotides) under Xyrichtys novacula (pearly razorfish). The record is from RNAcentral. Lineage: Eukaryota; Metazoa; Chordata; Actinopteri; Labriformes; Labridae.